Molecule: ribosomal RNA, 467 nt
Filed under: uncultured bacterium
Lineage: Bacteria
Description: partial 16S ribosomal RNA
Rfam family: Bacterial small subunit ribosomal RNA
Source: RNAcentral
GACGAACGCUGGCGGCGUGCUUAACACAUGCAAGUCGAACGGAAAGGCCUCUUUCGGGGGGUACUCGAGUGGCGAACGGGUGAGUAACACGUGAGUAACCUGCCCUUUACUUUGGGAUAACUUCAGGAAACUGGGGCUAAUACCGGAUAGGAGCUCCUGCUGCAUGGUGGGGGUUGGAAAGUUUCGGCGGUUGGGGAUGGACUCGCGGCUUAUCAGCUUGUUGGUGGGGUAGUGGCUUACCAAGGCUUUGACGGGUAGCCGGCCUGAGAGGGUGACCGGCCACAUUGGGACUGAGAUACGGCCCAGACUCCUACGGGAGGCAGGAGUGGGGAAUAUUGCACAAUGGGUGGAAGCCUGAUGCAGCAACGCCGUGUGCGGGAUGACGGCCUUCGGGUUGGAAACCGCUUUCGCUCAUGACGAAGCUUUGUGUGACGGUAGUGGGUAAAGAAGCACCGGCUAACUACGUG